Molecule: ribosomal RNA, 468 nt
Filed under: uncultured bacterium
Lineage: Bacteria
Description: partial 16S ribosomal RNA
Rfam family: Bacterial small subunit ribosomal RNA
Source: RNAcentral
GACGAACGCUGGCGGCGUGCUUAACACAUGCAAGUCGAACGGAAAGGCCCUGCUUUGGUGGGGUGCUCGAGUGGCGAACGGGUGAGUAACACGUGAGUAACCUGCCCUUGACUUUGGGAUAACUUCAGGAAACUGGGGCUAAUACCGGAUAGGAGCUCCGGCUGCAUGGUGGGGGUUGGAAAGUUUCGGCGGUUGGGGAUGGACUCGCGGCUUAUCAGCUUGUUGGUGGGGUAGUGGCUUACCAAGGCUUUGACGGGUAGCCGGCCUGAGAGGGUGAACGGCCACAUUGGGACUGAGAUACGGCCCAGACUCCUACGGGAGGCAGCAGUGGGGAAUAUUGCACAAUGGGCGGAAGCCUGAUGCAGCAACGCCGCGUGCGGGAUGACGGCCUUCGGGUUGUAAACCGCUUUCGCUAGUGACGAAGCGUGAGUGACGGUAAUGGGUAAAGAAGCACCGGCUAACUACGUG